Molecule: transfer RNA, 85 nt
Filed under: Felis catus (domestic cat)
Lineage: Eukaryota; Metazoa; Chordata; Mammalia; Carnivora; Felidae
Rfam family: tRNA
About the family: Transfer RNA (tRNA) molecules are approximately 80 nucleotides in length. Their secondary structure includes four short double-helical elements and three loops (D, anti-codon, and T loops).
Source: Rfam by way of RNAcentral
ACCUGGGUGGCUCGGCUGGUUGAGCAUCUGACUUCAGCUCAGGUCAUGAUCUCGCUGUUUGUGGGUUCAAGCCCCACAUCGGGCU